RNAcentral lists this unclassified non-coding RNA (574 nucleotides) under Hevea brasiliensis (rubber tree). The record is from RNAcentral. Lineage: Eukaryota; Viridiplantae; Streptophyta; Magnoliopsida; Malpighiales; Euphorbiaceae.
UUGAUCAAACUCUUUCUUGACUUCCAAUAUGAUUUUUGCCAGUUGCUUAUCUUCAUCAGCACUAAAGAAGCAGUGACGAUUCUUAGCAUCACAAACUAGUUCCUUCCAAAUCGAUUCACUAUUAGUUAGGGUUCUUUCAUUUCCCAAAAUCCAAAGACAGUGCCUUGCCCUUGUAAUAGCAACAUUGACUCUCCGAGGAUUGGACAUGAACCCAAUUCUCCCAUCUCUAUUUGCUCUCACAGUGGAUAUUAUUAUGACAUCUUCCUCCCCACCCUGAAACCCAUCUACUGACUUCACCUUCACAGAAAAACCAUUAAUAUUUUCAUACUUGUGACCAAUUUUCUCUUGGAUUGCAGUCACUUGAGCAACAUAUGGGGAUAUUACACCAAUUCUAAGCUUCUGUUUUGAGCCAUUCCAUGCUUUGUGCAGACUUUGCACUAGCUUUGACACAAUAGCUACCUCAACCAUAUUUCUUCGGCUACGUCCAACAUCAUCCAACUCUUCUCUUCCAUCAAACACAUUUAUGAAUGAAUAGGGUCCAAACAUUGGCCCUGGAAGAUAAUGCUUUUCAUAA